GAUGAACGCUGGCGGCGUGCCUAAUGCAUGCAAGUCGAGCGAACGGACGAGAAGCUUGCUUCUCUGAUGUUAGCGGCGGACGGGUGAGUAACACGUGGAUAACCUACCUAUAAGACUGGGAUAACUUCGGGAAACCGGAGCUAAUACCGGAUAAUAUUUUGAACCGCAUGGUUCAAAAGUGAAAGACGGUCUUGCUGUCACUUAUAGAUGGAUCCGCGCUGCAUUAGCUAGUUGGUAAGGUAACGGCUUACCAAGGCAACGAUGCAUAGCCGACCUGAGAGGGUGAUCGGCCACACUGGAACUGAGACACGGUCCAGACUCCUACGGGAGGCAGCAGUAGGGAAUCUUCCGCAAUGGGCGAAAGCCUGACGGAGCAACGCCGCGUGAGUGAUGAAGGUCCUCGGAUCGUAAAACUCUGUUAUUAGGGAAGAACAUAUGUGUAAGUAACUGUGCACAUCUUGACGGUACCUAAUCAGAAAGCCACGGCUAACUACGUG
RNAcentral lists this ribosomal RNA (497 nucleotides) under uncultured bacterium. RNAcentral describes it as "partial 16S ribosomal RNA". It matches the Rfam family "Bacterial small subunit ribosomal RNA", at positions 28 to 507 of the family's 1533-position model. The record is from RNAcentral.